GAUGAACGCUGGCGGCAUGCCUAAUACAUGCAAGUCGAACGAUAGGAAGGAAAGCUUGCUUUUCUGAAUCUAGUGGCGAACGGGUGAGUAACACGUAGGUAACCUGCCCAUGUGCCCGGGAUAACUUCUGGAAACGGAUGCUAAAACCGGAUAGGUAGCAGACAAGCAUUUGACUGCUAUUAAAGUGGCUAAGGCCAUGAACAUGGAUGGACCUGCGGUGCAUUAGCUAGUUGGUGAGGUAACGGCCCACCAAGGCGACGAUGCAUAGCCGGGCUGAGAGGGCGGACGGCCACAUUGGGACUGAGACACGGCCCAAACUCCUACGGGAGGCAGCAGUAGGGAAUUUUCGUCAAUGGGGGGAACCCUGAACGAGCAAUGCCGCGUGAGUGAGGAAGGUCUUCGGAUCGUAAAGCUCUGUUGUAAGAGAAAAACGACAUUCAUAGGGAAUGAUGAGUGAGUGAUGGUAUCUUACCAGAAAGUCACGGCUAACUACGUGCCAGCCGCCGCGGUAA
This 512-nucleotide ribosomal RNA is filed under the name uncultured bacterium. RNAcentral's name for it is "partial 16S ribosomal RNA". It matches the Rfam family "Bacterial small subunit ribosomal RNA", at positions 28 to 523 of the family's 1533-position model. The record is from RNAcentral.